Lates calcarifer (barramundi perch) is the source of this 242-nucleotide long non-coding RNA. RefSeq lists it as uncharacterized. NCBI's taxonomy places the organism in Eukaryota, Metazoa, Chordata, Actinopteri, Centropomidae. The record is from RefSeq and is a predicted model, not a curated record. The transcript is spliced from 3 exons.
UCCGCAUCGCGCCAAGAACGAACAGGGCUACGGCCCCAGCGACGCAGAUCCGCUGGAUUCAAGAUCCCAGUAAAUUGCGAACAUCUGCUUCCAAAGCAGACAGCAGUGCUGAGGCUGACCAGGAUGCUGCUGACAGCUCCAGCUGAAAACAUUUAGGAAAAAGACUGUGCACUCAGGAAGCUGGCAAUGUACACCACUCAGAUGUUGUAUAUCUCUUAGAUAGUUUUGUUAAUUUAUUUUUU